This 253-nucleotide ribosomal RNA is filed under the name uncultured bacterium. RNAcentral describes it as "partial 16S ribosomal RNA". It matches the Rfam family "Bacterial small subunit ribosomal RNA", at positions 524 to 776 of the family's 1533-position model. The record is from RNAcentral.
UACGUAGGGGGCAAGCGUUGGCCGGAAUUAUUGGGCGUAAAGAGCGCGUAGGCGGUCCGAUAAGUCGGCUGGGAAAGUCAGGGGCUCAACCCUUGAAAGCCGGCCGAUACUGUCGGACUAGAGUCCGGAAGAGGCGAGUGGAAUUCCCGGUGUAGCGGUGAAAUGCGCAGAUAUCGGGAGGAACACCAAUGGCGAAGGCAGCUCGCUGGGACGGUACUGACGCUGAGGCGCGAAAGCGUGGGGAGCAAACAGG